CUAGUUUGUCAUAGAAGAGGAAUGCGGUGGAGGAAUUAAUAGAGGGAGAGAAGUUAGGAGAAGACAGAAUAGGGUAGGGGAGAGAGUAAUUCUACUACCAAGCUCAUCAUUCCACCCAAUCCAAAAGCUUCUGAACUAUCUGGUGACAAUAUAGGAAGGCUAAAUCAGAGUUUGUUGAAUUUUUUUUUUGGGGGGGGGAUAAAGUAAACCAUAUGUUGCCCUUUAGAUUUUUUUUUUUUGUUGCAUUUUCCAUGUAGCUUUAUAAAUACGGAGAGGUUAUAUUAUACAAACAUAUACAAUCUACUCUUUCAUUUGCAUUUAACCAAGUAAGGUGUUGAUGAAGUAGGUAUUAUGUUUAUUUCCCUGUGCCUUGAAGUCUUACAAAAAGGAUUUAUGUUAGAAAGCAUUUUAAAAAAUAAUGUUAGGUUAUAAAUCUUGAUUUUCAAUGUUCUAUGUGGUUGAAUAGUGUCUAAAAGAUACUGUUACAUAAAAAAACCCAGAACAUAUAGUUAAUAUGAAAGCUCAAACCUGUAUUAAUUUAGCAGAAGUAGUUAAUUUUAACUUCCAUAAAUGAUGGUCUUAUUUGGAGACUGAAAUAUCACUACAAAAUAUUUUCCUAUUUUGAGAUGUAAUCCUCGUAUAAGCAAGACACAAUUUUAAUGGUUAUAUGGCAGGACGAGUGACAGACAAGAAUCCCUCAGACACCGAAUUGUAGAAGGAAAGGGCUUUAUUCAGUCAGGAGCAUCAGC
RNAcentral lists this long non-coding RNA (749 nucleotides) under Homo sapiens (human). Its description in RNAcentral is "HSALNT0137348". Lineage: Eukaryota; Metazoa; Chordata; Mammalia; Primates; Hominidae. The record is from RNAcentral.